Long non-coding RNA from Solea senegalensis (Senegalese sole), 870 nucleotides. RefSeq lists it as uncharacterized. The record is from RefSeq and is a predicted model, not a curated record. The transcript has 2 exons. NCBI's taxonomy places the organism in Eukaryota, Metazoa, Chordata, Actinopteri, Pleuronectiformes, Soleidae.
UCUAUUUCUGCUCACAUUGAUUACGAUGUGAUAUAGUUGUUGGCAGUAAAGCGACAAUGUUGUCAAAGUAAUGUUUGUAAGACAAUUAUACAUAAAAAAAGUAAAAUCUACGUUAAUAUUUCAUGUGUAAUUGUAUUCUUUGUCCUUUAGGAGCAUGGUUGAAUCAAGUCUUGGAGAAAAUCUUCACACCAUCCAGUGUCUGCUCCUCUUCCAGACUCCUCCAGCUGUGCCACAUCAGAUUCACCGGCACCGGCCGCCACCAUCAGCCAGCUUCUUGUUUUUUACAGAAAUGCGCCGCUUGCAGUGCGAUACUCCUCCAUACCAGGAGUCAUCUUGCAAGAAGGGGCACGAUGUCUGGGAGUGCAGCCUGUCAGAUCGGCGAUGACCUGCAGAUGCUCCUCAGAAAUGAGGUCUGGUUAACAGACACAUGAAAACAACUGAAAAAAUGACGACAUGAAACCAGCUUCAAGGCUAGCCUUGAGUUCAGGUGUGUACCUGUGGCGUUGAUGGAGCGCUUGUGGCGUCGUUUCAACGAGUCCCUGAACAGCUUCACAGCCACGUGCAUGUAGUCUGCGGCUCGGACCGCGGUUCUGGACGCUCCAAUGGGCUGCUUUACGAGCCGCAUGACAUUGGAGGGGUUCACCGCAUUCCUCCUCACGCGGGCAAGACUCCUGUCACAUGACACAGGUCACAUUAGGGUUUGUAAAAAAAAAAAGAACUAUGCUGAAAAAAAAAAGCCGACUUACUCAUGUCUGGAGAACUUGUAAGCGUCAUCCACAGCGGCCUUCGCUGCCAACACAGCAGCCUCAAUGUCACGCACAUUCAAACGGGAUUCUGAAAACAAUAAAAGAAAAACAGAUACUGUGAAAA